AGAAUCAACGCUGGCGGCGUGCCUAACACAUGCAAGUCGAACGAGAAAGUGGAGCAAUCCAUGAGUAAAGUGGCGCACGGGUGAGUAACACGUGACUAACCUACCCUUGAGUGGGGGAUAACCUAGAGAAAUCUGGGCUAAUACCGCAUAAUACCUUCGGGUCAAAGGAGCAAUUCGCUUAAGGAGGGGGUCGCGGCCGAUUAGUUAGUUGGCGGGGUAAUGGCCCACCAAGACUGUGAUCGGUAUCCGGCCUGAGAGGGCGCACGGACACACUGGAACUGAAACACGGUCCAGACUCCUACGGGAGGCAGCAGUGGGGAAUUUUGCGCAAGUGGGGGAAACCCUGACGCAGCAACGCCGCGUGGAGGAUGAAGCCCCGUUGGGGCGUAAACUCCUUUCGAUCGGGAAGAUAAUGACGGUACCGAGAGAAGAAGCCCCGGCUAACUUCGUGCCAGCAGCCGC
Molecule: ribosomal RNA, 462 nt
Filed under: uncultured bacterium
Lineage: Bacteria
Description: SSU rRNA
Rfam family: Bacterial small subunit ribosomal RNA
Source: RNAcentral